AGAGCGGUAGUUCAGUUAGUUAGCCUAUUUACCUUGAAAGCAGCGGCCUGUCACGCUGCCGAAGGCAUUCGCGGGUUCGAGUCCCGUCCGCUCCG
This 95-nucleotide transfer RNA is filed under the name Photobacterium proteolyticum. It matches the Rfam family "tRNA". Rfam says of the family: Transfer RNA (tRNA) molecules are approximately 80 nucleotides in length. Their secondary structure includes four short double-helical elements and three loops (D, anti-codon, and T loops). Lineage: Bacteria; Pseudomonadati; Pseudomonadota; Gammaproteobacteria; Vibrionales; Vibrionaceae. The record is from Rfam by way of RNAcentral.